Molecule: long non-coding RNA, 364 nt
Filed under: Cottoperca gobio
Lineage: Eukaryota; Metazoa; Chordata; Actinopteri; Perciformes; Bovichtidae
Description: lncRNA (ENSCGOG00000022807.1)
Source: RNAcentral
CUUUUUCCCUUCCUGCUGUUUCUGAAGUGUUCUGACUGUGGAUACAGACUUUUACUGGAGAUAUAAUUUAUUCUACAAAUAAGGACUGGAAGCAGAGAAGCUAUGAAAGGGCUUGGGAGUGAGACUCCCAUUAAACUAAGCAACCCCAGAUUGCUACAGAAGAGAGCUUUGAGCUUCCAGAAAGAAUUCACCUACGACGAAAAAGACGACCCAGCUAAAAGCAAAGAUAUAGAUGUUAGUCUCUUGGCCAAUCUCCCAAAGGUGAGUAAGGGUUUUCUUUUGCUUUAUUUUCUGCCUGCUUGCAAAUUGGUCCUCACCAUGUCAACCUUUUCAGGGAUUUUGAAAGUCACUGUUGUGCAACAGC